GAUUAUCAACUUUCGAUGGUAGGAUAGAGGCCUACCAUGGUGGUAACGGGUAACGGGGUGUUAGGGCACGACACCGGAGAGGGAGCUGAGAAACGGCUACCACAUCCAAGGAUGGCAGCAGGCGCGCAAAUUACCCAAUCCCGACACGGGGAGGUAGUGACAAUAAAUAACAAUACGGGGUUCUUUCGGAUUUCGUAAUUGGAAUGAGUACAAUUUAAAUCUCUUAACGAGGAACAAUUGGAGGGCAAGUCUGGUGCCAGCAGCCGCGGUAAUUCCAGCUCCAAUAGCGUAUAUUAAAGUUGCUGCAGUUAAAAAGCUCGUAGUUGAAUUUCGGGACUAAUAUGUCGGUCGUGCCUAGGUACGUACUGGCUUAUUGGUUUCUCCUUUCUGAAGAACCAUGAUGUCAUUUAUUUGGUGUCGUGGGGAAUCAGGACUGUUACUUUGAAAAAAUUAGAGUGUUUAAAGCAGGCUCACGCUUGAAUACAUUAGCAUGGAAUAAUGAAAUAGGACGUUUGAUUCUAUUUUGUUGGUUUCUAGGAUCGACGUAAUGAUUAAUAGGGAUAGUUGGGGGCAUUAGUAUUCAAUUGUCAGAGGUGAAAUUCUUGGAUUUAUUGAAGACUAACUACUGCGAAAGCAUUUGCCAAGGAUGUUUUCAUUAAUCAAGAACGAAAGUUAGGGGAUCGAAGACGAUCAGAUACCGUCGUAGUCUUAACCAUAAACUAUGCCGACUAGGGAUCGGAUGAUGUUAAUUUUUUAAUGACGCAUUCGGCGCCUUACGGGAAACCAAAGUGUUUGGGUU
Molecule: ribosomal RNA, 799 nt
Filed under: uncultured Glomeromycotina
Lineage: Eukaryota; Fungi; Glomeromycota
Description: SSU rRNA
Rfam family: Eukaryotic small subunit ribosomal RNA
Source: RNAcentral